GCUCCUGUAGCUCAAUCGGCAGAGCACCCGCCUUGUAAGCGGAAGGUUCUCGGUUCAAUUCCGAGCAGGAGCUCCA
Molecule: transfer RNA, 76 nt
Filed under: Nitrospiraceae bacterium
Lineage: Bacteria; Pseudomonadati; Nitrospirota; Nitrospiria; Nitrospirales; Nitrospiraceae
Description: tRNA-Thr
Rfam family: tRNA
About the family: Transfer RNA (tRNA) molecules are approximately 80 nucleotides in length.
Source: RNAcentral